AGCCUCAGCGGUGCCUCUGCAGGCUCAUCUGGUAAGACGGUACCAGCUUGCUCAGAACAGGGGCUGGCUAUUCAUCGUCUCAGAGCAUAGAGACCCUCUCCUUGCCACCCGGCCCUUCCUACCUGGUUGGUGACAAAUCACAAGGUGACCAUCUACCUGGGGAAGAGAGACUACAUAGACCAUGUCAGCCAAGUCCAGCCUGUGGAUGGUGUCGUGUUGGUUGAUCCUGAUCUUGUGAAGGGAAAGAAAGUGUAUGUCACUCUGACCUGCGCCUUCCGCUAUGGCCAAGAGGACAUUGACGUGAUCGGCUUGACCUUCCGCAGGGACCUGUACUUCUCCCGGGUCCAGGUGUAUCCUCCUGUGGGGGCCGCGAGCACCCCCACAAAACUACAAGAAAGCCUGCUCAAAAAGCUGGGGAACAACACGUACCCCUUUCUCCUGACGUUUCCUGACUACUUGCCCUGUUCA
Molecule: small RNA, 468 nt
Filed under: Pongo abelii (Sumatran orangutan)
Lineage: Eukaryota; Metazoa; Chordata; Mammalia; Primates; Hominidae
Description: processed transcript
Source: RNAcentral